AAUCGAACUCGGAGAUAGCUGGUUCUCCCCGAAAUAGCUUUAGGGCUAGCGUUAUCUUAGAUUACCGGAGGUAAAGCACUGAAUGGGCUAGGGGGCGAUAAGCUUACUGAACCCUAUCAAACUCAGAAUGCCGGCUAAUUGAUGGAUAGCAGUCAGACAGUGUGAGAUAAGUUUCAUUGUCAAAAGGGAAACAGCCCAGACCCACAGCUAAGGUCCCUAAUGUAUGCUAAGUGGAAAACGAUGUGGAAUUGCGAAAACAACCAGGAUGUUGGCUUAGAAGCAGCCACUCAUUAAAAGAGUGCGUAAUAGCUCACUGGUCGAGUGACUCUGCGCGGAAAAUAUAACGGGGCUAAGCAUGCAACCGAAGCUUGGGAUUGUCUAAAGACAGUGGUAGGGGAGCGUCGUGUACGGGGUGAAGUCGCAUCGGAAGGAGCGGUGGACUGUACACGAGUGAGAAUGCCGGAAUGAGUAGCGAGAAUUAUGUGGGAAUCAUAAUGGCCGAAAAUCUAAGGUUUCUUGGGGAAGGUUCGUCCGCCCAAGGUAAGCCGGGAGCUAAGGCGAGGCCGCAAGGCGUAGUCGAUGCACAUACGGUAAAGAUUCCGUAGCCGCCGAACUUUAAGUCAGAGGGACACUUGCAGAUAGCGGAACCCAGCCGUUGGUUGAGCUGGGCGAAAGGGACUGAAUUUAGUAGGGAAGUCCGCGAUGCUGAAAGGCGAGAAAAGCUCUGAUGAAUACUAAGGCGCCCGUACCGCAAACCGACACAGGUAGAUGAGGAGAGAAUCCUAAGGCCAACGGGAGAAGGGUUGUUAAGGAACUCGGCAAAUUGACCCCGUAACUUCGGAAGAAGGGGAGCCCCGAAAGGGGCCGCAGUGAAUAGGCCCAAGCAACUGUUUACCAAAAACACAGGUUUAUGCUAAAUCGAAAGAUGACGUAUAUGAGCUGACGCCUGCCCGGUGCCGGAAGGUUAAGAGGAGAGCUUAGAGCAAUCGAAGGUUUGAAUUGAAGCCCCGGUAAACGGCGGCCGUAACUAUAACGGUCCUAAGGUAGCGAAAUUCCUUGUCAGGUAAGUUCUGACCCGCACGAAUGGCGUAAUGAUUUGGGCACUGUCUCGACAGCCCGCCCGGCGAAAUUGUAGUACUGGUGAAGAUGCCAGUUACCCGCAACUAGACGGAAAGACCCCAUGGAGCUUUACUGCAGUUUAAUACUGGGAAUCGGUAAUGCAUGUACAGGAUAGGUGGGAGACUAGGAAGCAUGGUCGUCAGGUCAUGUGGAGUCACCGGUGGGAUACCACUCUUGUAUUGCUGAUUUCCUAACCUGCGGCCGUGAAUCCGGUCGGGGGACACUGUUAGACGGGCAGUUUGACUGGGGCGGUCGCCUCCAAAAGAGUAACGGAGGCGCUCAAAGGUUCGUUCAGCACGGACGGAAAUCGUGCAUUGAGUGUAAACGCAUAAACGAGCCUAACUGCGAGACCGACGGGUCGAGCAGUAACGAAAGUUGGAGUUAGUGAUCCGGUGGUAUGUGAGUGGAAAUGCCAUCGCUCAACGGAUAAAAGCUACCCUGGGGAUAACAGGCUGAUCUCCCCCAAGCGUCCACAGCGACGGGGAGGUUUGGCACCUCGAUGUCGGCUCGUCGCAUCCUGGGGCUGUAUUCGGUCCCAAGGGUUUGGCUGUUCGCCAAUUAAAGCGGCACGCGAGCUGGGUUCAGAACGUCGUGAGACAGUUCGGUCCCUAUCUGUUGCGGGCGUAAGAGAUUUGAAGGGAGCUGUCCUUAGUACGAGAGGACCGGGAUGGACGUACCUCUGGUGCAGCAGUUGUCCUGCCAAGGGCAUAGCUGGGUAGCUAUGUACGGACGAGAUAAACGCUGAAAGCAUCUAAGCGUGAAACUCCCCCUAAGAUGAGAUCUCUCAUCCUUUAU
RNAcentral lists this ribosomal RNA (1914 nucleotides) under human gut metagenome. Its description in RNAcentral is "bacterial LSU rRNA". It matches the Rfam family "Bacterial large subunit ribosomal RNA", at positions 831 to 2824 of the family's 2925-position model. The record is from RNAcentral.